UGGUAUAAUGUUCCUAUGAUAGGGCUGCAGUUUUUUAUUCCCAAACUGGAUAAACUGGUGGGUACAACGUGAGCAUUCGGGCAGGUGACACCUACGAGCAGUGAGCAGCUGUCCGUCAGCCAGGGAAAGGCAUGUGACCAGUGCUGCUGUUCUGCAACUGCCGGGCAGCAUCUCGUGUCCCUGGGCGCAGGAAUCCCGCGAUUACCAGGUACCCAUUUUCCGCAGUGCCUCCCACCGAGCCCGGACUGCCGGAGAUGAGGCUGCUGCUCCUCGACAUGGCCUCUGUCGAGGCACGGCGCUUCCAGCUCUGCUCCAGAGGAGCGCAGCACUUCGGGUCCUCCUGUAACUCAUCUCCUGGAGGUUCGCCCCCGCAGUCCGUCACUCACGGAGCUAUCCCCAUCAGGAACCCAUGAGCUGAGAAAUCCAAAGUCAGGGCUGUGCUGCUGUAAGGUUUUCUGCUCCCUAACCCGCCCACGCUCCCCCACGACACCGCAUUGUUUUGCUUUCCUUCCAUCUCCUUUUUAUUCCUGCGCGUUCAGGCGACAUUUUCCAAGUGUUCCCCGCUGCUUGGACAUUCACAGCGCCCGGGACGCCGCGGCGGGAGAGCGGCCGGGGCUGCGGCGAAGGGCGCGCACGGAGACCCCCCGGCCCCGCUCGCCCGACACCGCGCCCCGGCCGCGGGGACACCGACCACACCUCCGGCUCCCGGCGGCAGAGCACGCCCUCCCCUUCCCGGGAGCCGCAGGCGCCCCCCGCCCGGGCCGGCUGGAGCGGGGCUUUCCCUCUCCCGACAAGCCCCUCCCGCCACCCGCGCCUGCCUCAGCCCCAGCCCCAGCCCCCCCGGCAGCGCACGCCGCUUCCCGCUGCCGCCCGCGCCUGCUCCGGGAGGAAGAGGGGCGGCGGCAGCAGCGGGCGGCCGAGAGGGACCCGCCUUUCACUCUCCCCGGCCCGGCCCCCCGGGCCCGCCGCCCACCGCGGGCGCGGCGCAGCGCAGCGCGGCCGCCGCCGCCCCGCCAUGAGCCGGAGGUAGCGGCGGCGGCGCCUUCCGCAGCCGCCGCCGCCCGCCCGCCCCGCCG
This 1076-nucleotide long non-coding RNA is filed under the name Junco hyemalis (dark-eyed junco). RNAcentral describes it as "lncRNA (ENSJHYG00000015991.1)". The record is from RNAcentral. Lineage: Eukaryota; Metazoa; Chordata; Aves; Passeriformes; Passerellidae.